GUAGGUGAACCUGCGGAAGGAUCAUUAUUGAAUAAAUCUGGCAUGGGGUUGUAGCUGGCUCUCUGGAGCAUGUGCACGCCUCUGUCACCUUUAUCUUUCCACCUGUGCACACACUGUAGUCCCUGGAUACCUCUCGCUGAAAGGCGGAUGCGGAGCUUGCUGUUUUGCUUUCGAGCUCGGCUUGCUCUGAAUUUCCAGGGUCUACGAAUUUUUAUCAUACACCCCAAACGAAUGUUAUAGAAUGUCAUAUCAUUGGGCCUUGUGCCUAUAAAACCUAUACAACUUUCAACAACGGAUCUCUUGGCUCUC
This 309-nucleotide unclassified non-coding RNA is filed under the name rhizosphere metagenome. RNAcentral's name for it is "partial ribosomal RNA internal transcribed spacer region". The record is from RNAcentral.